CAGCCACAAAUCUCUCCUGGUGUGCACAAGAGUGCCAGACAAAGGAGGAGGCUCAGCUAACCGUCAAUCAAGUCACCAUUACCUGAAGAGAAAUGCAAUCACAGCUGAACAAUAGGCUGGAUAUGAAGCAAAAGCUUGAAAUGUGAACGAGGAGGAAAAUCUAUCUUGUCAGCACAUCGGCAAAACCGAAUAAAAGUGGCCAGAGAGUGACAGGUGAGGAAACUGAGAUUUAGUCAUGAAGCCAUGUGUCCAGCGCCAUGAAGUGAACAAGGGGCAGAACAGGUCUAUAUCCAGGCAGGUGUACUGCAGAUCUGCGUCUCAGGCACAGGGGCAAGAGUAGCAUCCACUCAAGAAAUUCAAGGAGUCUGAUUGGAGCCUGGGAUUGGAGAGGAGGCAAACCCACAGGCUUGGCAGUUGGGCAACUGAGUGGCCAAGUCCGCAGAGAGUAAAGGUGUAGCAGCGUGGGUUUGGCUGUCCUGGCCUGCGGUGGAGUUGGAAAGCAACACUCUUCCUGGGGAGUCUGA
Molecule: long non-coding RNA, 524 nt
Organism: Eptesicus fuscus (big brown bat)
Lineage: Eukaryota; Metazoa; Chordata; Mammalia; Chiroptera; Vespertilionidae
Exons: 3
Source: RefSeq, a predicted model, not a curated record